Molecule: ribosomal RNA, 491 nt
Filed under: uncultured bacterium
Lineage: Bacteria
Description: bacterial SSU rRNA
Rfam family: Bacterial small subunit ribosomal RNA
Source: RNAcentral
GACGAACGCUGGCGGCGUGCUUAACACAUGCAAGUCGAGCGGUAAGGCCCUUUCGGGGGUACACGAGCGGCGAACGGGUGAGUAACACGUGGGUGACCUGCCCUCAGCUCUGGGAUAAGCCUGGGAAACUGGGUCUAAUACUGGAUAUGACUCCACGGUGCAUGUCGUGGGGUGGAAAGCCUUGUGCGGCUGAGGAUGGGCCCGCGGCCUAUCAGCUUGUUGGUGGGGUGAUGGCCUACCAAGGCGACGACGGGUAGCCGGCCUGAGAGGGCGACCGGCCACACUGGGACUGAGACACGGCCCAGACUCCUACGGGAGGCAGCAGUGGGGAAUUGUUCGCAAUGGGCGCAAGCCUGACGACGCAACGCCGCGUGGAGGAUGAAGGUCUUCGGAUUGUAAACUCUGUUGACCGGGACGAAUGGGCUCCGACCAAAUACGUCGGGGCAUUGACGGUACCGGUUGAGGAAGCCACGGCUAACUCUGUGCCAGCA